Long non-coding RNA from Mirounga angustirostris (Northern elephant seal), 3763 nucleotides. RefSeq lists it as uncharacterized. The transcript has 2 exons. The record is from RefSeq and is a predicted model, not a curated record. Lineage: Eukaryota; Metazoa; Chordata; Mammalia; Carnivora; Phocidae.
CAGGGCGACGCGAAGCCCGUGCUGGGGCGACCUGGAGCGCGGGCAGGGCCCGGGUCCCGAGGUGGCGCGUUUGCGGGCCCCUCGGCCGGCGUCCACGCAGGGGCGCUCUGAGCACCGGCCGGAGGGCUGCGGAAAGAGUCUGGUCCUGGCCCCCAGGUGGCCGCCUCCCCCCGCUGCCCUCCUCCCGGAGGCACAGGGCCUUGGCCGGAGGAGAGAGCUGACUUGCGGGCAUCGCACCCCAGCACAGCACGGGCAGAAGAUGAGCCGAGCGGGGCUCUCGGCUUCCCCACGGGCUCCCGGAAGAGCCGGGGCGGGCUCCUGCGUUCUCUCGGCCUCGGUUUCCUCAGCCGCCACGUUACGAUAACCUCAGGCACUACAGACAGAGAUCCAGGAGAGCUGAUUCUGGUAAGAAUCUUCCCCCUUCCCUGGCUUCUGUCAGUUUUCCCCUGAUCCCUUCUCCAAGGCUCCAGAGUGAGUGGGGUUUGAAGUAGAGAGUGAAGCUGAGGUAUCUACCAGAAUUUGGCAAAGUUUUUUUUAUUAAUUUUAUUUUAAUUUCCCUUUGGCUGUUUAAGGGAAUACUGGUAGCAGUUUACUGGAGAAUCCCUUGGAGUCCCAUCAACCCUGAAAGGGGCCCAAGUGGUAGUAGAUACAGGGGCCUCUGGAUAUAGGCCAUUAUAAUCUGGAUAUAGGCAGACUUUUGUUUAUGGUCAUGUAGUCUAUUUAGAGUGGAAAGGCAGUACAGAUAGAGGAUUAGUGAGUACUGAGGUCAAGGAGGGUAGAAGGGAGUAGUAGAAGUCAUUUAAUUCUUAUAGUCUUUUGUUUUAGGUACCUCUUGUGUCCUUGAUUUUUUUUAGUCUUUUGCAAUAAAUCUUUCCAUGAGGCUAUUUUUGAAGCCUUUCAAAGGCUUCUGCAUGCCAGUUAAAAUAGGCAUACUCUUCUGUUUGUUUGAUCUGGGAACACUUACUUUCAAGUUCACUUUUUAAAUGAAUGAUCUUGUCUAAUUAGAAUAUUCCCCAUAGGGGCGCCUGCUUCUUCCUCACCCACUCCCCCUCCUUGUGUUUCCUCUCUCGCUAUGUAUGUAUCUGUCAAAUAAAUAAAUGAAAUCUUAAAAAAAAAAAAAGAAUAUUCCCCAUAAAGGCCAUUUUAAAUCUAGGUUGUCUUAGUCAGAUUUGGCCAUUUUUGUAGAUACCUACAACUUCAGGGACCACAGUCCUUAGUCAUAAACAUUUGUGCUGGAAGAUGGCACACUUAAUUCUUUGGAACUUGAGGAUCCCAUUUCUUUAGUGAAGCUUUGGGUCUCUGAGAGCCGAAUUAAUACCUAAGAGGGAUGUACCAUUGGGUUGGGGAUUUUGUGGUGUUUUACAGUGUGCCUUGUUACACAGAAGUUUUCUUGAGGUUGGCACGUGGCUUAGUGUCGAUCUAACCCAUUCUGUGAUCAAUUCAUCCUAGCACGGGAGUCUUCCAGUUAGGUGUCAAACACUCCAAGAGCUUUUAGGUGCCCAUGCCCACCAAUUCUGUGGUUUUGGCUUCUGAGAUCCCCAUUAGGAAUAGAUCUGUUCUUCCUUUCACAAGAAAAUGUCUUUAUAGUGGUGGAUACCCUAAUGGCUUUUUUUUUUUUUUAAAGAUUUUAUUUUCUUUAUUUGACAGAGAGAGAGAGACAGCUAGAGAGGGAACACAAGCAGGGGGAGUGGCAGAGGGAGAAGCAGGCUUCCCGCCGAGCAGGGAGCCCAAUGCGGGGCUCAAUCCCAGGACCCUGGGAUCAUGACCUGAGCCGAAGGCAGACGCUUAACGACUGAGCCACCCAGGUGCCCCCCCAAUGGCUUUUAAUAGUCCAACUUGCACCUACUUAGAUUUUGAUGUGUCAUUGGUCAGAAAAGUCUGAAUUUCUUUUCUUAAUUCCCUUCCCCAAGUUUCCUAGCAGUUUGUGCUGUGGACUUACCUUGAAGCUUUAUGAAUCCUGUCCCCCCAGUGGCUGCCAUCUUGCUUUCUUUAGACUGAGGGGUAACCAUUAUUUUCUCUUGAAAUAACCCAUCAUAAUUCAACGAGACUUACUGUUGCUGGCUGCCUGCACAGUUCCUGAGACUUGUAAGGACUCCCCACAAAGGUGCUUACCUUGUACAUGAGUUUGGCCACAAACCUAAAUGUUGUGGUUCACUAAGUCUCACUGUGAAAACCUGAAGGCUCUCACACCCCAGCUUUUCACCUGGAAGGAAUAAGGUGAACAAACUUGAGGAGCUCAGAAUGCAAAACAAGCAGAACUUGAUCAGAGAGAAGCUUACCAGAGUAGUCGGAGAGGCAACAAAUAAAAUAGCUUUCUGGGUACCUUCACCUGCUUCUAGAAGCCGUCCCCAGAAUCUUUAGCAGCUGUCUUCAGGUCCCAUCUCAUUGCAAUACUGGCAAUUUGCAAAACCUAAGACGAUUUAGUAAUCAGUUUGAUGUCCUUUCUUCACGGGAAAACAGUCCUUGAUUCGGGGAGUACAGUGCUCACAAGUAGUUGGAGCAUCCUUCCCAAGGAAUUUUGGGCAAGUGUGAGUUUUAAAAAACAUUAGAAGAGGCAACAGGGAAACAAGCAUGAUUGGCUAGGAGUUAGGGAUUCCUUUAUAAGGAUAGCAGGUCCUUUUUUCUAAUAUAAGGUAAACUAGCUAAAACAGAGUUGGAGGAUUGUGAUUUGUAUAUGUUAAAUUUCCUUGACAGGUGUUUCCCCUUAAGUGCAGGCUGACUGAAGUUUGGAUUUGUGAUGUGGGCCAGGUCGCUGGGCCUGCCUCCAUUCUGUGGGUCCUGAUACACAAAUUAACUUUAUCAGUAGUCAAGAACAGAUCAUGUGUUCUGUGGCAAGGUCAGAUUUACUCUUGAGACAAUUGCUAUGGUGGGCAGUAUGGGUUAAAAUAGCUUUGAGAGGGCCAAGACUGAAGGUAGAAAGUCCACAAAGGCAGCAGCUGAAGUAGAAGUGGUAAGGUCCAGAAUAAGGCCUGGACCUUAUUCUGGAGGGGAAGUACAGGGGCUGGAGGGGAAGUACAGUCCUAUCUCAGUGGCCAAUUCGAAUUUGGGAAGGAAGGAGAGGGGGGAGUCUAGAAUAUUUUGACCCCAGGUUUUUAAUUUGGACGACAACUGUGGAUCCUGAUCCACUGGCCAAUGGCCAAUAACACGCCUCCAUCUCCUUGAAACACGGGUAAAAACUUGGCUCUCUUCAGACUGUUCAUAUCAAAGGGUUGUGGUAGAGAUGAGUAGCAAGUAGAAAACGGACAAGUUUCUCUUUUUAGAUCAAAACUUAAAUAGGCAGUUCUAGGAGAGUUGCUCUAGGAAAAAGAGUUCAUUUUCUUCACUUCACACCUGGAAGUCCUCAGGGAUGGAAAAAACUGCUUUACAAGGAAGAAAAGUCGAAGUUUUUUUAAUGAUUAUAUAUAUUUCUUUGUCAGUAGUAAAUGUUUUUGUACACAAUACUUUGUUCAGUUUGAGGAGUCCACGAGUGCAAUUAAAAGCCAAGUUUUCGAAUUAACUAUUCAAGUCUGGCAAGAAAGGAAGUGUGAACUUUAUUGAAUUUACAUAUGUAAGUGUGCGCACCUGCUUUUUAGAUAGAACUGAAUGUAGUUGUCAUUAAAAUGCUUUUUUCCCCCUAUAACAUUUUGUUGUCUGCACAAUCACAGUGGAUCGCUGAAGUGCGUGGUAACCUCUUCUGUAAUGCCGCCUCUUAGAUAAAGUAUAGUUUGGGAGGGAUUGCAAUCUCUUUUCUUUCCACUUCCUGUGUGGAGCGCAGGGUACACUA